AAUAGAUACCCCGGUAGUCCACGCCGUAAACGAUGAGUGCUAAGUGUUAGAGGGUUUCCGCCCUUUAGUGCUGCAGCUAACGCAUUAAGCACUCCGCCUGGGGAGUACGGUCGCAAGACUGAAACUCAAAGGAAUUGACGGGGGCCCGCACAAGCGGUGGAGCAUGUGGUUUAAUUCGAAGCAACGCGAAGAACCUUACCAGGUCUUGACAUCCUCUAACAACUCUAGAGAUAGAGCGUUCCCCUUCGGGGGACAGAGUGACAGGUGGUGCAUGGUUGUCGUCAGCUCGUGUCGUGAGAUGUUGGGUUAAGUCCCGCAACGAGCGCAACCCUUGAUCUUAGUUGCCAGCAUUUAGUUGGGCACUCUAAGGUGACUGCCGGUGACAAACCGGAGGAAGGUGGGGAUGACGUCAAAUCAUCAUGCCCCUUAUGACCUGGGCUACACACGUGCUACAAUGGGGAGGACAAUGGGCUGCUACCUGGCAACAGGAUGCAAAUCUCAAAAACCUCUUCUCAGUUCAGAUUGU
Molecule: ribosomal RNA, 526 nt
Filed under: uncultured bacterium
Lineage: Bacteria
Description: bacterial SSU rRNA
Rfam family: Bacterial small subunit ribosomal RNA
Source: RNAcentral